GGAGAAUCUUCCGCAAUGGACGAAAGUCUGACGGAGCAACGCCGCGUGAGUGAUGACGGCCUUCGGGUUGUAAAGCUCUGUUAAUCGGGACGAAUGGUUCUUGUGCAAAUAGUGCGAGGAUUUGACGGUACCGGAAUAGAAAGCCACGGCUAACUACGUGCCAGCAGCCGCGGUAAUACGUAGGUGGCAAGCGUUGUCCGGAAUUAUUGGGCGUAAAGCGCGCGCAGGCGGAUUGGUCAGUCUGUCUUAAAAGUUCGGGGCUUAACCCCGUGAUGGGAUGGAAACUGCCAAUCUAGAGUAUCGGAGAGGAAAGUGGAAUUCCUAGUGUAGCGGUGAAAUGCGUAGAUAUUAGGAAGAACACCAGUGGCGAAGGCGACUUUCUGGACGAAAACUGACGCUGAGGCGCGAAAGCCAGGGGAGCGAACGGGAUUAGAUACCCCGGUAGUCCUGGCCGUAAACGAUGGGUACUAGGUGUAGGAGGUAUCGACCCCUUCUGUGCCGGAGUUAACGCAAUAAGUACCCCGCCUGGGGAGUACGACCGCAAGGUUG
This 549-nucleotide ribosomal RNA is filed under the name uncultured bacterium. RNAcentral describes it as "bacterial SSU rRNA". It matches the Rfam family "Bacterial small subunit ribosomal RNA", at positions 356 to 896 of the family's 1533-position model. The record is from RNAcentral.